RNAcentral lists this transfer RNA (76 nucleotides) under Enterobacter asburiae. Its description in RNAcentral is "tRNA-Thr". Lineage: Bacteria; Pseudomonadati; Pseudomonadota; Gammaproteobacteria; Enterobacterales; Enterobacteriaceae. The record is from RNAcentral.
GCGAAGGUGGCGGAAUUGGNNCUUCAGGUGUUAGUGUCCUUUGGAUGUGGGGGUUCGAGUCCCCCCCCUCGCACCA